UACGGGGGGGGUAAGCGUUGUUCGGAAUUACUGGGCGUAAAGGGCUCGUAGGCGGCCAACUAAGUCGGACGUGAAAUCCCUCAGCUUAACUGGGGAACUGCGUCCGAUACUGGAUGGCUUGGAUUUGGGAGAGGGAUGCGGAAUUCCUGGUGUAGAGGUGAAAUUCGUAGAUAUCAGGAGGAACACCAGUGGCGAAGGCGGCUUUCUGGACGGUUACUGACGCUGAGACGCGAAAGCGUGGGGAGCAAACAGG
This 253-nucleotide ribosomal RNA is filed under the name uncultured bacterium. RNAcentral's name for it is "partial 16S ribosomal RNA". It matches the Rfam family "Bacterial small subunit ribosomal RNA", at positions 524 to 776 of the family's 1533-position model. The record is from RNAcentral.